This 545-nucleotide ribosomal RNA is filed under the name uncultured bacterium. RNAcentral's name for it is "bacterial SSU rRNA". It matches the Rfam family "Bacterial small subunit ribosomal RNA", at positions 777 to 1318 of the family's 1533-position model. The record is from RNAcentral.
AAUAGAUACCCGGGUAGUCCACGCCGUAAACGUUGGAUACUAGGUGUGGCGUCCCGAUCAACGGAUGCCGUGCCGAAGCUAACGCAUUAAGUAUCCCGCCUGGGGAGUACGGCCGCAAGGCUAAAACUCAAAGGAAUUGACGGGUCCCCGCACAAGCGGCGGAGCAUGCGGCUUAAUUCGAUGCAACCCGAAGAACCUUACCUGGGUUUGAAAUCAUGGGAAAAGCUGUAGAAAUACAGUGUCCGUAAGGGCCCAUGACAGGUGGUGCAUGGCUGUCGUCAGCUCGUGUCGUGAGAUGUUGGGUUAAGUCCCGCAACGAGCGCAACCCUUGUCCUAUGUUGCCAGCGGUUCGGCCGGGGAACUCGAUAGGAGACUGCCGGGGAUAACUCGGAGGAAGGUGGGGACGACGUCAAGUCAGUCAUGCCCCUUAUAUCCAGGGCUGCACGCAUGCUACAAUGGUCGGUACAACGGGCAGCGACCCCGCGAGGGGUGAGCGAAUCCCACAAAGCCGGCCUCAGUUCGGAUUGGAGUCUGCAACUCGAUCC